This is a non-coding RNA of Kogia breviceps (pygmy sperm whale), 231 nucleotides long. The record is from RefSeq and is a predicted model, not a curated record. Lineage: Eukaryota; Metazoa; Chordata; Mammalia; Artiodactyla; Physeteridae.
GACUGGUGUAUGGAAAGAAAAAGAAAUCCUUUUGUUUUCUUACUUCUAUGGUUCUUCUCAAGGAAUGACACCUGACUGGGAUAGCCAUGAGCCACGAGGCCACAAAUGUGAAGAGGAAAAGGCAACAACUUGAGACAAUGGGGCAGAAGGAAGAAAACUGCCUAGCGAGACAUGUGGGAUCUUAGCUCCCCAACCAGGGAUUGAAACCGUGCCCCCUGCAGUGGAAGCGUG